Molecule: ribosomal RNA, 497 nt
Filed under: uncultured bacterium
Lineage: Bacteria
Description: partial 16S ribosomal RNA
Rfam family: Bacterial small subunit ribosomal RNA
Source: RNAcentral
GAUGAACGCUGGCGGCGUGCCUAAUACAUGCAAGUCGAGCGAACGGACGAGAAGCUUGCUUCUCUGAUGUUAGCGGCGGACGGGUGAGUAACACGUGGAUAACCUACCUAUAAGACUGGGAUAACUUCGGGAAACCGGAGCUAAUACCGGAUAAUAUUUUGAACCGCAUGGUUCAACAGUGAAAGACGGUCUUGCUGUCACUUAUAGAUGGAUCCGCGCUGCAUUAGCUAGUUGGUAAGGUAACGGCUUACCAAGGCAACGAUGCAUAGCCGACCUGAGAGGGUGAUCGGCCACACUGGAACUGAGACACGGUCCAGACUCCUACGGGAGGCAGCAGUAGGGAAUCUUCCGCAAUGGGCGAAAGCCUGACGGAGCAACGCCGCGUGAGUGAUGAAGGUCUUCGGAUCGUAAAACUCUGUUAUUAGGGAAGAACAUAUGUGUAAUUAACUGUGCACAUCUUGACGGUACCUAAUCAGAAAGCCACGGCUAACUACGUG